AUUGAACGCUGGCGGCAGGCCUAACACAUGCAAGUCGAACGGUAACAGGAAGAAGCUUGCUUCUUUGCUGACGAGUGGCGGACGGGUGAGUAAUGCCUGGGAAACUGCCUGAUGGAGGGGGAUAACUACUGGAAACGGUAGCUAAUACCGCAUAACGUCGCAAGACCAAAAAGGGGGACCUUCGGGCCUCUUGCCAUCGGAUGUGCCCAGAUGGGAUUAGCUAGUAGGUGGGGUAACGGCUCACCUAGGCGACGAUCCCUAGCUGGUCUGAGAGGAUGACCAGCCACACUGGAACUGAGGACACGGUCCAGACUCCGUACGGGAGGCAGCAGUGGGGAAUAUUGCACAAUGGGCGCAAGCCUGAUGCAGCCAUGCCGCGUGUAUGAAGAAGG
Molecule: ribosomal RNA, 392 nt
Filed under: uncultured bacterium
Lineage: Bacteria
Description: bacterial SSU rRNA
Rfam family: Bacterial small subunit ribosomal RNA
Source: RNAcentral